CUCAUUUGCAUAAAGUUAAAGCAUGCCCAACUUUCAGCAGGCAGCAAAGAUGUUUUUUUCCUCAGCAGGCAGCAAAUCGCUUCCAUUCUAUCCCAAUGAGAGCAGCACGAUAUCGCGUGCCGUGGACACCCACGUUUAUUAUCUCCCUAACACACACACACACACACACACUAAACCUCACACACACCAUCAGUUAUCAUCUCCCUAACACACACACACUAAACCUCACACACACCAUCAGUCAUUAUCUCCCUAACACACACACACACACUAAACCUCACACACACCAUCAGUUAUCAUCUCCCUAACACACACACACACACACACACUAUCAGUUCAGCAGGUUCCAUCCUUCUCCAGUUUGUUGUUGUAGUCAUGGUGUGUGACGUCAUUCAUUCAUUCAUUCAUUCAUUCAUUCAUUCAUUCAUUCAUUCGUUCAUUCGUUCAUUCAUUCAUUCAUUCGUUCACUCAUUAUGAGUUGCCAACCUGGAAAAACAUCUCAUGCCUUCAUCACAUCGUGACAGCCACCAGCCAAUCAUAUCCCUCGAGCUGGAGAUGGAGAUGGAGCUGGUGUGUUUCUGUGUGUGUGUGUUUGUGUGUGUAUGUGCGUGUGCGUGUGCGUGUGCGUGUGAGGAGCUGGGUACAGAAGCAGUCAGUGUCGAUAAUUCUUCAAAGCUUGACAGAGUUCAUGUCAGCUAGAGGAGCAAACCAAGACAGGAUGGUCUCCCCUAACACACACACACACACACACACACACACACACACAUUAGUCAGAGGUAUUUAAGAGUGGAAGAUGGCAGCAUAUGACUUCAUUUAAAUACAUCUACAUCUAACUGUCCUCUAACAGCAAAUGUUGGUCUUUAUAAUCGUGUCGCUUCCGUUUGAAAACUGAGAAAGUCAUGAAAUAUGUUCAAGUUACUGCUUCAGAAAAACAUAUGGCAUCAUAACAGAUGUUAGUUAACUGCACAGAAGUCUUGAACAUGAACAACUUUAAGUCAAAUGUCAGAUGACCGCUAGGCCUGUAGUUAGCCACAAGACCGCUAGGCCUGUAGUUAGCCACAAGACCGCUAGGCCUGUAGUUAACCACAAGACCGCUAGGCCUGUAGUUAGCCACAAGACCUCUAGGCCUGUAGUUAGCCUGCUGGGUACUGAAGCUGCAGUCCUCACUGGACUCAGGAACACCACUCUACCUUCAGGGGAGCAGGGAGAACAGAGAGAGCACUGAGAUGGAGAGAGAGAGAGAGAGAGAGUGAUGGAGAGAGAGAGAGAGUGAGUGUACUGAGAUGGAGAGGGAGAGAGAGAGAGAGAGAGUACUGAGAUGGAGAGAGAGAGAGAGCACUGAGAUGGAGAGAGAGAGAGAGUGUACUGAGAUGGAGAGAGAGAGAGUGAUGGAGAGAGAGUACUGAGAUGAAAGGAGAGAGAGAGAGAGAGUGAUGGAGACAGAGAGAGAGAGCACUGAGAUGGAGAGAGAGAGAGAGAGUGAGAGAGAGAAAAACAGAAAGAGAGCGAAAAAGGUUGAAGACAGAGAGAGACAGAAGAUUUCAGAGGAUGGAUGAGUGUGUGUGACAUGUACAGAUUAUUGUGUGUGUGUGUGUGUGUGUGUGAGAGAAUGAGAAAGACAGACAGACAGAGAGAGAGAGAGCGAGUGUGUGUGUGUGUGAAAGAGAAAGACAGACAGACAGACAGAGAGAGAGUGUGUGUGUGUGUGUGUACCAACAUGACUGCUUAUGAAGAGGGUGGAGUCUCAGGGUUAGAGAUCUGUGUUGCCAUGGUGUUGUGUUUGUGUUGUCACGACGAUCAUUCCUGCUUGCUAUGAGAAGGAGGAGGUGGGGCUGGGUGCCACCAGAUCCCAGGGGUGUAGCAGAGCCAGAUCAGAGCCAGAUUCCUGCCAGACCAGAUCAGAGCCACAUCACAGCCACAUCAGAGCCAGAUCAGAGCCAGAUUCCUGCCGUGUUUGUGGGCUUCAAUCCCACAGUCGAUCCAGUCCUGACCCGGUACCCAUCCGUACUGGACCAACACAGGACCUGGUGUGUGUGUUGCCUACCACUACACACACACACACACACACACACACACACACACUCUGGAUCCAUCCCAGGAGUGAUGUUCUUGCGGGGCUUGGUUCUGCUUUGAGCUCCUAAAUGCUCCAAAUCUGUCCUCUCAGGGUUGUCCCGUGAUACGCUGAAGAACCUGCUCAGGAGCCCACACACACACACACACACACACACACACACACACACACACCA
Molecule: long non-coding RNA, 2246 nt
Organism: Clupea harengus (Atlantic herring)
Lineage: Eukaryota; Metazoa; Chordata; Actinopteri; Clupeiformes; Clupeidae
Source: Ensembl